RNAcentral lists this long non-coding RNA (4704 nucleotides) under Daucus carota (carrot). Its description in RNAcentral is "long non-coding RNA (DCAR_LNC006036)". The record is from RNAcentral. Lineage: Eukaryota; Viridiplantae; Streptophyta; Magnoliopsida; Apiales; Apiaceae.
UCAGGCUUGCAACCUUUCUUCUCCAUAAUUUUGAACAACUUAACAGCCACAGAAGGAUUCCCUCUCUUGCAAAUGCCGUCAAUGAUAAUUGUAUAGGUAACAACAUCGGGUUGAAUAAGUUGAAAUCUGAUGAGGUUCUGGAACAAAAGCUGAGCCUCUUGAAGCAUAUCUUGGGAAAUAAGGCCCCUGAUGAGAGUGGUAUAAGUCACCACACUUGGCACAAAACCGUGCUUGAUGAUUCCAGCCAAUAGUGAAAAGGCAAAAUCGACACGAUUCAAGUGACAGAAACAGUUAAUGGCAGUAGUGAAGGUAUAUAUAUUAAGGGGGAUGCUUCGAACACGCAUAUCCCUAAAGAGAGACACAGCUACAGAGUACUCUUUCAUUUUAACGAGGGCGGCUAGCAGUUGAUUAAAUUUAAGAACAGGAAGCAUAGGCUUCAUAAGGAGCAUUUUAUCAAACACUUGGAGAGCAUCAUCGAGUUUAUCGAAACCAACCUUGGAUUUCUCAUACAGUAAUUGCUGAAGUCUCGCAUGAGAUGUAUUGGAAAAAUGAGGAACAUAGGGGUGUUUGGGGUUAGGUUUAGUGGAGAACAUAAGAAAAUGAGCAUCGAAUUGAAACAAUGCGAGACCACAAGUAGUAGCUGCAGACUCAGCUGCAGAUCGUAGAAAUGGUAGCACUGGUGUUAAUGAAGCGAGACUCCUCAUCGCUGCUUAUAUAAUCAGUUACUGAAUGCUACUUCUUGCCGGUGCUCUCACUUCACUGGGUUCACUUGCCCAGAACACAAAAUAUGACGGAACAAUGGGAUGUACUGUGUACUCAAGUUACAAAUUAUAUCUCAUAUAGUAUAAUUUUACGUGUUAAAUUUAUAUAAAUAUAAAAAUUAAUAUAUAAUUUUUUAUUUGAAAUUAUACCAUACCACACGUAAAAAAUAUUUUGAGAUCUAAGAACGAUCACUUUCACAGAUUGCAAGGUUGAGCAUAAAAGGUGUCGAAAACAUAAAAGAUGUCGAAAAGUAAAAUUCGGUAUAUAAUAUGUCAUGUCUUACCACAAAUCCAACACAACAUGCGCAAUUCUGCUGUCUCUGGUCGACGCUCGAUGCUUUUGAGUUUUUUAAAAUGACCGACACUCAGAACCAUAUAAUAAUGACGAUAUGAUUGUCACUCGAUAAAAUUUAUCUUUCAACUACAAAGGUACAUUUUUUAAAUCAUCAUAUAUAUGUAUCUCAAUUUUUUUGAAAUUAUAAUUUAUUUCAUUUUUUUCUUUUUAAUGAAUUUAUAACUUUUUUACUAACAUUAUAUUUUCUCCGUUUUAGUAUAAUACUCCCCGUGACGCUUUUUUAGUUGUCAUGUUUGAAUUUUGACAAGUCAAAUUGAUCAAAAUUUGACUAAAUUUAUUAAUAUUUUAUUAAUUAAUAAAAUAAUAAAUAUGUCACCGAAAAUAACUAUUUUUUUCACAACCAAAAUAACUUUCAAUCUACUCUGAUAUGUAAUUUUCCAGUAUUUUAAAAUAAUAUAAGAGGUACUUAUAAUUUUUGAUCAAAAAUUAGUAAAUUUGAUUAAUAAAAUAAAAAUGUGACAAUUAAAAAGAAACGGAAGGAGUAGUUUUAAGAAUAGAGCAAUAUCGGUCUUCUAAUUAAUAUUUUAAAAUUUUAGGUGCAUAAUUAAAUUUAGCUGGGUGGAAACUGAACCUGUGAAAGGCUACCUUAGCUAUUCUCGCAGCUCAUAACAUUUAAACUAUAUGUUGAUACAUAGGGUACGGUUCAAAUUAGAACCGAUAUUAAUAUUAAAAUUAGAACUAAGGUAUACACGCGGAACUUAGGAACACACAUGCUUUGAUUGAAAUUUAUACGUAUUAUAUAACUAAAUAAUAAAAAUAAUUGGGUUGAUAAAUUUGCAUGAGCAUUGUUGAUUUUAUAAUAUACAAAAUGUUUUUACUAUAGCAGCAACAGAGUGAACCAGGACACAUUGCUAUACCCAAGUUAGUCAUCAUCUCCCGCUCCGUCGAACACUUCUGCAUCUCCACCACCCCAAUCUUGAUCCCAAGUUAGUCAUCAUCUCCAGCUCCGUCAAACCCUUCUGCAUCUCCCCCACCCCAAUCUUGAACAUCUGCUGGUCCAUCAUCGACAUUAACAUCUAUAGCCAUGUCGAAACCAAUAUCAUCAUUAGGGACUUCCUGCAGUUCUGGCACGGUCUUCUUAAUCUCCAUAGAUGCAAUGUUUGCGUCACUGAAAAAAUCAGCAUACGGCUUCGAAACCUGAACAGAGAUAUAAAAUUUAAAAAAUUCUUAAUUAUAUACGCUCCAUUGCUGCAGCAACAAUAAUCUUCGGAUAACAUAUUUGUAUAUACGCCAUAGCAAUUGACACAUCUUAAUAAAACUGUAACUGGAAAUUUCAUUCUCCAUUCUUGUCUUCUAGCCAAAUAAGGAAAAAUUUAAAUGUUCACUUGAAUUUUUAAAAUUCAAAUCAGUUGAUGUAGAUGUAGUAGAAGAGGAUAUCGAAACUUUGUUUCUGAGUGAUGGCAAAGGAGAUGCAAAGCAAAUUUAGUCUAAAAAGAUUUAACCACCUUAUAAAGAGCAUUCCUCUUUUCUGCACUCUUGAUGAGAUUUUUCCAGUGCUCGUCUUUUCUCAAAGUUGAAGCAGAACCCACAACCUGAAUAAACAAAAAGGCAGCUUCUGUUAUAUAAGCAAAGCUAUAAGUGUACUGUACACAGUUCUGAAAAAAUUAAAAUAAGCGCUUCAAAUUUAUUACCCAAACAGAAGACCUUGCUCUGGUAACAUUCAUUCUCGGAGAAUCAGCAGAAAAUCCGAUGCCUUUAUCUUUGCUUCCCCUGACACAUGAAAAUACAACAACAUCUUUUUCUCUUCCCUGCAUUAGGAACAGGAUACAUUUAACAAAAUUUACAACUUUUAGAACGAGGAAAACAAGUAAUGCGCAAGAUGCAUCCGGUGAUUAUAAAUUCAAAUAAAAUCUCAAGGCGUAUAUAGAGCCAUAUUAAUCUCAACCAAUGAAUAGUAAAUUUUUUAUAAAAAGAAUAAAUUUGUUAGCAAAUCAAAUAACCAUAAAUCUUUUGCAGAGCCUCCUAUCAAUCAUCCUGUUGAUUAAAAUUAGUAAAAUUUAGGGGGCUCCAGCCCCCACCAUGUGGAAGCGGUAAUUGUUAGCUACUUUGUUGUAACUAGCCAUAUUUGCUAAUAUGAACGAUUCAAGUUGAUACUUGAAUGACUGGAGAAAAUAAUGAUACUUACUGGUAUAAAUAAAAUUACAUGUUAUUCAAGUAGCAAAGAGUUGGAGAGGAAGUAUGGCAGAAUUAGUAGCAGCAUCUCAACUAGAGAAGCCUGAAGUACAGAGAAAGGCAAGGCCCUCUCUUACGGAAAGUACUUCUCACGCAAGGCAAGAAGAGUAGGAUCCGGUUCUUGCACUUCAAGUAAGUCUAGUAACACAGAUGUUGUAGAUGCAUCUGCUGCAAAGCGGCGACCAAGCAUUUCAUCUAGUAGUACAUCUGCUUCAUAGUACUUAUUAUUCUGUAAACAACAGCGUAUAAGUGUGUUGUAUGUGACAUCAUUAGGCAAGCAAUAAUGAGCUUCCAUUUCCCUGAAUAGUUCAUUUGCUUCAUCCAAUAACCCUACAUGACAAUAUGCUUGGAUCAUCACAGUGUAUGUCUUGACAUUAGGUCGCAAACCUUUCGCAGGAAGGUUGUCAAAAAGGCUUCUUGCAUUCUCGAGAUGUCCAUUUUUGCUUAGUCCAUCAAUCAGAAUAGUGUAAACCUGUAUAUCAGCAACUAACCCACUGGACUCUAGUAUUUGAAAAAACGAUAGUGCUUCAAAUACAUAACAAUUCUGGCAAAGACCAUGCAACAAGAUACGACAUGUCACUUUAUCCAACUCAACACCUUGGUUAAUCAUCUUUUCCCUAAAAAAAUUACGUGCUUCAACAUGCCUGCCCACAUGAAAAAAACCUUGCAGUAUAGUACUGUAAGUCUGAAUAGUUGGGGUUAAACCUUCAGAGGGCAUUUGUUGAAAAAGAUCUAUGGCUCUGUCCACUUUCUUCUUUCUACAGUACCCGUUGAUGAGGAUAUUAUAGCUAAGAGCAUCAUGCAAUAUUCCCUUUCUAGUCAUGCUUUCGAACACUACUAAAGCUUUAUCAACCUCUCCCUGCAAGCAGUAUCCAUCCAUUAGUGAAUUGUAAGUGACUACAUCUGGAUAAUGGCCUCUUUGAAUCAUCAACUCUAUCACAUCCUCCGCAUCUUCAAUCAUUCCUUCUUUGCAAUACGCAUCAACCAAUAUGCUGUAAGUAAAAACAUCUCGAGAAAUGUUCCUAACAUCCAUCUCCUUGAGCAAUAAUUUGACAUCAUGCCAUCGAUUAAUGUCACACAGUCCUUGAAUUAACGAGCUGUAGGUUAUAACAUUUGGGGAUAUGCCUUUCCUUGUCAUUCGGUGGAGAAGACCCAAUGCUUGAUCGACUAACUUAUGUUUACAUAAACAGUCAAUAAUUGUGUUGUAAGUGACCGUAUUAGGCUUGCAACCUUUCUUCUCCAUAAUUUUGAACAACUUAACAGUCACAGAAGGAUUCCCUCUCUUGCAGAUGCCGUCAAUGAUAGUUGUAUAGGUAACAACAUCGGGUUGAAUAAGUUGAAAUCUGAUGAGGUUCUGGAACAAAAGCUGAGCCUCUUGAAGCAUAUCUUGGGAAAUAAGGCCCCUGAUGAGAGUGG